CCCUUAGAUGUUCUGGGCCGCACGCGCGCUACAAUGAUGAAUUCAACGAGUUUAUAACCUUGGUUGAAAAGCCUGGGUAAUCUUUUGAACUUUCGUCGUGAUGGGGCUAGACCCUUGCAAUUAUUGGUCUCCAACGAGGAACUCCUAGUAAACGCAAGUCAUCAGCUUGCAUUGAUUACGUCCCUGCCCUUUGUACACACCGCCCGUCGCACCUACCGAUUGAAUGGUCCGGUGAAAUCUUCGGAUUGAGACUUUGAUUUCUUCACGGAAAACGCUGUUUUAAGAAGUUGAUUAAACCUUACCAUUUAGAGGAAGGUGAAGUCGUAACA
Molecule: ribosomal RNA, 329 nt
Filed under: uncultured eukaryote
Lineage: Eukaryota
Description: partial 18S ribosomal RNA
Rfam family: Eukaryotic small subunit ribosomal RNA
Source: RNAcentral